CUGCUGCCUUCCGUAGGAGUCUGGUCCGUGUCUCAGUACCAGUGUGGGGGACCUUCCUCUCAGAACCCCUACGCAUCGUCGUCUUGGUGGUCCGUUACACCGCCAACUAACUAAUGCGACGCAUGCCCAUCCGCCACCGGAAUCAAACCUUUGGCACCAACAGGAUGUCCCGUCGAUGCAUUAUGCCGUAUUAGACGGAAUUUCUCCCGAUUAUCCGGCUGUGGCAGGCAGGUUGCAUACGUGUUACUCACCCG
This 254-nucleotide ribosomal RNA is filed under the name uncultured bacterium. RNAcentral's name for it is "partial 16S ribosomal RNA". The record is from RNAcentral.